ACAUUGUGUGGCAUCUUUUUGAGCUUCCUCGAUUGUCCAAGCUUCCAUAAUACCAUCCAGACUCCUCCAACGGUCAGCCUUCCAUAGUGUCCUCCAGAUUCCUCUAACAGAUGAACUCCUAUCGUGCCAUCUGGACUCCUCCAAUAAUGAGCUCCUCCAUUCAUCUACCGGGCUGCUCCAAAUGCUCUCUGAGCUUCACUUUCAGCCGAUUCUCUACAGUGAUCGAUUACUCUUCGAAUCUUUUUCAGACUUCUCCCAGCC
RNAcentral lists this long non-coding RNA (261 nucleotides) under Elaeis guineensis (African oil palm). RNAcentral's name for it is "long non-coding RNA (EGUI_LNC036486)". Lineage: Eukaryota; Viridiplantae; Streptophyta; Magnoliopsida; Arecales; Arecaceae. The record is from RNAcentral.